RNAcentral lists this ribosomal RNA (431 nucleotides) under actinobacterium BAL76. Its description in RNAcentral is "bacterial SSU rRNA". It matches the Rfam family "Bacterial small subunit ribosomal RNA", at positions 47 to 495 of the family's 1533-position model. Lineage: Bacteria; Bacillati; Actinomycetota; Actinomycetes. The record is from RNAcentral.
CUUAACACAUGCAAGUCGAGCGGUAAGGCCUUUCGGGGUACACGAGCGGCGAACGGGUGAGUAACACGUGGGUGAUCUGCCCUGCACUUCGGGAUAAGCCUGGGAAACUGGGUCUAAUACCGGAUAUGACCUCCUAUCGCAUGGUGGGUGGUGGAAAGAUUUAUCGGUGCAGGAUGGGCCCGCGGCCUAUCAGCUUGUUGGUGGGGUAAUGGCCUACCAAGGCGACGACGGGUAGCCGACCUGAGAGGGUGACCGGCCACACUGGGACUGAGACACGGCCCAGACUCCUACGGGAGGCAGCAGUGGGGAAUAUUGCACAAUGGGCGAAAGCCUGAUGCAGCGACGCCGCGUGAGGGAUGACGGCCUUCGGGUUGUAAACCUCUUUCAGCAGGGACGAAGCGCAAGUGACGGUACCUGCAGAAGAAGCACCG